RNAcentral lists this long non-coding RNA (1850 nucleotides) under Anolis carolinensis (green anole). RNAcentral describes it as "lncRNA (ENSACAG00000037574.1)". Lineage: Eukaryota; Metazoa; Chordata; Lepidosauria; Squamata; Anolidae. The record is from RNAcentral.
CCUCGCAAUCCAUGGGACUUGAGCACCAUUUCCCAGAAAUGGACGUGCAAUGGCGGUAGGGGGACUCAGGGGGAACACCCCAAUUUCUUCCCCUGCAGCGCCGAAGGGAAAGGGAAGGGGGGGGGGGUGUAGUGAAUCCAAAUCCAUCGCCCCCCCCUGCUUCUUAAGACCCCCCUUCCUCUUUCCACCCUCCCUCCCUCGUUGUCCGCCCCUCGGCGGCGCUCACCCAAUCCCGUUGCGGCGUCUCCGUUUGACAGGCAGCGAGCUCCCCGCCCCUUUGUGACGUCUCUGCUUGGCUUUGCAUGAGUUGCGCCGCCGCCAGAGCCUGCCGCUCAGUUGUCUGGAAAGGCGAAGCGAGUCCGGAGCUGGCUGCAGGCGAGAAAUCCCCCCACACCCCCAAAAAAGACCCUUUCCGUCACCAACAGCUCCCUAAGAAUAAAAGAUGGAGCUGCCGGCGGUGGGCGAGCACGUCUUCGCCGUGGAAAGCAUCGAGAAGAAGCGAAUCCGGAAGGGGCGAGUGGAGUACCUUGUCAAAUGGAGAGGAUGGUCGUCCAAGUAAGUCCCGGGAAGGGAAGGCAAGGGGUCUUUUCUCGCGGGCUGCAGAGUCUGCUCCUGUGUCUCCCUCCCUCUCCCUCCCCCCAAUUUCCCUCCAGCGCUAUCAGAAUCAGGUGAUUUGUUUUUUGCUGCAUGAAAAUGGACCGACACACCGAAGGCCGCCAAAGCAGGCAGUGGCCAGGCGGCGAGGCUCUGAUGGUGCAGAAAAUGGCUCCUUUCCCUUGGAAAGCAGGGAAGCAGGGCUCCAUAUUGCAGAACCCAGCAGCAGCAGCUCAGGCAUUGACCGGGCAGGGCGGGGGGUAGGAGGGGGCUGCCAAGGGGAGGGCGCAGUCUUCUCAUUAUUUAGUAAUAAUAAUAAUAAUAAUAAUAAUAAUAUCCAUGACGAUGAUUAAAUCCCCCGCCCGCGUUCAAUCCCCGAAUCCGGUCCGAGCUGCAAGGAAGGAGGGAGGGAGGGAGGGAAGCCCUGUCACUAGGCAGCAGCGGCUUGGCUGCACAUUUCACUUGACCGACGGGAGCGCGCGGCGGGAGGAAGAAGAAGAGGAAGAAGGGAAGAGCAGGAGGAAGAGGAAGAAGCCUGGGUGACAGAACCUCUGGGGGGGGGGGGGGGAUCGGAGACAAGAGGCUUUUUUUGGCUGGCCUCUGGAAUCAUAGACUCCUAGAGUUGGAAGAGACCUCGUGGGCCAUCCUGUCCAACCCCUUGCCAAGAAGCAGGAAAAUCACAUUCAAAGCACCCCCGACAGAUGGCCAUCCAGCCUCUGCUUAAAGGCCUCCAAAGAAGGAGCCUCCACCACACUCUGGGGCAGAGAGUUCCACUGCUGAACAGCUCUCUCACACAGUGUGGAAGUUCUUCCUAAUGUUCAGGUGGAAUCUCAUUUCCUGUAGUUUGAAAACAUUUUUCUGCGUACUAGUCUCCAGGGCAGCAGAAAACAAGCUUGCUCCCUCCUCCCUAUGACUUUCUCUCACAUAUUUAUACAUGGCUGGCUAUCAUGUCGCCGCUCAGCAUUCUCUUCUGCAGAUUAAACAUGCCCAGCUCAUUAAGCCGCUCCUCAUAGGGCUUGUUCUCCAGGCCCUUGAUCAUUUUAGUCGCCCUCCUCUGGACACAUUGCAGCAUAGAGUCAACAUCUCCCUUCAAUUGCAGUGCCCAGAAUUGGACAUAGUGUGAUUCCAGGUGUGGUCUGACCAAGGCAGAAUAGAGGGUUAGUAUGACUUCCCUGGAUCUAGACCAGGCAUGGGCAAACUUGGGCCCUCCGGAUGUUUUGGACUUCAACUCCCACAAUUCCUAACAGUAGGCUGGA